Molecule: non-coding RNA, 72 nt
Organism: Pangasianodon gigas (Mekong giant catfish)
Lineage: Eukaryota; Metazoa; Chordata; Actinopteri; Siluriformes; Pangasiidae
Source: the annotation of a GenBank genome assembly
GAAGUGGUAGCUCAAUGGUUAAGCUGUUGGACUUCUGCUUGGAAGGUUGAGAGUUCAAAUCCUACCACUGCU